UGGGGAAUAUUGCACAAUGGGGGAAACCCUGAUGCAGCAACGCCGCGUGAGUGAUGACGGUCUUCGGAUUGUAAAGCUCUGUCUUUAGGGACGAUAAUGACGGUACCUAAGGAGGAAGCCACGGCUAACUACGUGCCAGCAGCCGCGGUAAUACGUAGGUGGCAAGCGUUGUCCGGAUUUACUGGGCGUAAAGGGAGCGUAGGUGGAUAUUUAAGUGGGAUGUGAAAUACCCGGGCUUAACCUGGGUGCUGCAUUCCAAACUGGAUAUCUAGAGUGCAGGAGAGGAAAGGAGAAUUCCUAGUGUAGCGGUGAAAUGCGUAGAGAUUAGGAAGAAUACCAGUGGCGAAGGCGCCUUUCUGGACUGUAACUGACACUGAGGCUCGAAAGCGUGGGGAGCAAACAGG
Molecule: ribosomal RNA, 404 nt
Filed under: uncultured Clostridium sp.
Lineage: Bacteria; Bacillati; Bacillota; Clostridia; Eubacteriales; Clostridiaceae
Also listed under: 1 other name
Description: bacterial SSU rRNA
Rfam family: Bacterial small subunit ribosomal RNA
Source: RNAcentral